GGGGGCGAUCGGCUUCGACCGGGCAGGUUGAGGUCUGGGUGGCGUGUCGAGAUCGUCAGGUACCUCGUGAACUACCUGGCAAACUGUUAGAUGCCAACGAUUCCUAUCGUCUGGCUGCCUAGCACACGCUAGGCCCUGUCGCGUCCCGAACGCCUGCUACGGGACGCGGCAAAGACAGCAGGCUGGCUGUGGCGCUCCCGUCGGGUGGCGUCGCGGCGAGAUGCAGCCCGGCUCGGUGCGUGGGUGACCUGUCGGCGGGUCUGCUACGCACUCAGAGUUGUCGAGUUCACCGGACACACACGUAGAGGCCCAGGCUGAAAUGCUUCGGGACGCGGGUUCGAUUCCCGCCGCCUCCAUCG
RNAcentral lists this transfer-messenger RNA (359 nucleotides) under Phycisphaerae. RNAcentral describes it as "CAADGM01 sp900696535 Standard tmRNA". It matches the Rfam family "transfer-messenger RNA". Rfam says of the family: Bacterial tmRNA, also known as 10Sa RNA or SsrA, is named for its dual tRNA and mRNA-like properties. Its role is to liberate the mRNA from a stalled ribosome. To accomplish this part of the tmRNA is used as a reading frame that ends in a translation stop signal. The record is from RNAcentral. RNAcentral also lists the same sequence under 1 other name. Lineage: Bacteria; Pseudomonadati; Planctomycetota.